UUAAAGUUUAAUUCUAACUAAAAGAUUAGUACUACUAAAAAACCUUAUGCCUUAUCUUAGUUAAUCAUAUAUAUAUAUAUAUAUAUUAAAUACAUAAAUAUAUAAACAUAAAAAUAUUUAUCAGCAGAAGUUGAAAUUGUGAUAAUGCGUAAAAGCGUGAAAUGGUUUAAAUAUACUUACUGGUAAAAUUUGUGCCAGCAACAGCGGUUAUACAACAAAUAUCUAACAACUAAAAUCUGUAAGGAUGAAGAUAUUUAUGAAUUAAAAGUAAAAUUUCCAUAAUCCAUUAAGUGCUAAUAUCAUCACUAAUAAAUUAUAAACUAAAACAAGGAUUAGAUACCCUUUUAUUAUUAAUUCAAAAUAAGAUUGGAGAUUACAAGCAAUAGCUCUAAAACCCAAGAAUUUGGCGGUGUUUUAUUCAAUCAGGGGGACCUGUACUUUAAAUCGACAGUCCACGAUAAACUCUAUCUAAUUUUAAUAUUAUAGCCUGUGUACUGCCGUUUAAUAAACUCUUUAGGUAGAUAUAUAAAUAAUAAAAAAAUUAUAAUUCAGGUCAUAGUGCAGCUUACAAUUAGACAGUAUAUGGGUCACAUUUUUAAAUAUAUAAAAAAUUAUAAAUUAAUUUUAUAAUAAAUUCAGGACUUGAUAGUAAUUAUAUAAUUAUUUAUACUAUAAUGAAUAUGAACUUAAAACAAGUACACAUCGCCCGUCACUCCUUUAUAUAGGAUAAGUCGUAACAUAGUAGAUGUAAUGGAAAUUGCAUCUGU
This 767-nucleotide non-coding RNA is filed under the name Orobdella kanaekoikeae. The record is from RNAcentral. Lineage: Eukaryota; Metazoa; Annelida; Clitellata; Hirudinida; Orobdellidae.